UGGCUUUUUCAUUUGCUCCAAAUAUUGAGGUUUCAUGUAAAAGUUAUCUCUUUUAUAUGUUAUCUCCAUUUUAUGAAUGUUUGAAUCUUGUAGCCCAGGCUGGCCUCGAACUAGCAGUAAUCUUUUUUCCUCCGCCUCCCAAGUGCUGGGAUUACAGGUUUGCGACACCACACCUGUCCUUGGAAGUUUGAAUCUUAGAGGGAUUUUUUUUUUUUUGUAAUGAUCAUAGACGUCUGUUAGUUAUAGAUAUCCCUCCUUUAGGACCCCUUCCUCUGCUCUGAGACAGUUAUGAUUCUAGUUUACUCUCUGGUGAUUUUUCACCUGUGCCGUUGCAACGUUUUCUCCUUAUUCUUCACCUCCAACAUACUUUUCUUCUUUUAAGGCUAGAUCUUAACCUUCCCACUUUUUCUGCUUUUUCUUUGGGUGCACCAUACCCUUCAGGGCCUUGUAAGCUUUAGAUCUAAUUUUUUCAUCCUGUGGACUUUGCCUUAUUGUCUAAAUCCACCUCUCUCAAAGUAGAUUUACCUCUUUCAUUCUUUAUCUUCUUAUUUGUAGCCUGAUGGGACCACAUUCCUCACGUUACCGUGUACAUCUUUUUCUUCUGUACAUUCAGAUACGAGUCACCCGUUCAGUCACCACUUGGACUCUUCAUCCAGUCACCAGUUGGACUAUUCUGCGUGAGACAGAUUUACAAUGUCAAGUGGAGGCACUUGUUUUAAAACUCCAGAAGACAGUGACUGAACUGGACAAGUUUAAAGAAAUGCUCAAGCACACUACAUUUCUUAAAGAAAAAGAAGACUCUUUAAUGACUUGUCAACAGAUAUAUAAAACUUUACAAGUUUUCUAUGAAAGAAAGGCAAUAAGAAGAUUUAAGAAGAAUUCACCUUGCCGAAAAGGAACCGCAGAUAACCAAAACUCUUCUGAGUCAAAGGAAGAGGUUGUAACACUGAAAAUGAAAGGGAAUUGCUGCUGAUUUCACAUCAGAAAAGCACUGAGCAGCUGCAGGAAGCCCUGAGACAGAAGCUGCUAAGUGAUGCUAACUGGAGGGAGGAGGUAACAGUGUGUGAUUUUCAUCAGCAUGUGUCUUACUGGCUUUUUAAAAUUCUGCUAGAAGACUGUUCCAGAUAGAUUUCUUGGCUGCUGUAUACACUUUUGAUUCCCUCUGGAAUUUCCAACACAAAACAUGCUUAUUAUAUGUGUAUUUUCCAAAAUAUUAGACAACAUAAUGAGAAAUAGAAAACAAGAACAGAUUGUGAAAUCUUGUAAAAUUAAAAUGGUUCUUGGUUUUCAUGCAGAAGCAUAAUUUUUACUUUUAAAUGUUUACCUUUUUCUCAACAUGUCAGGAUAUGCAUUUGACCACAUUCUUUUAAAAGUUUUAUUUGUAUUAGUACAUGUUUGCAGUACGUGAUGAUUACAUUUAUUGUGGGGAGUAGGGCACAAGUACAUUUAACACAUCUCAAUUCUUUUUUCCUCCUCCCCUUCCCUAUUUAAGACAGAUAAUAUUAAUUCUUAUGAGUUCUGUGCUUCUCUCAUAAGGAGAUAAUGUAGGAGAAUGGAAAAUUACUUAAAAUUACUCUUACAAAAUUUUGACAUAUUUAUCCUGGCA
This is a long non-coding RNA of Fukomys damarensis (Damara mole-rat), 1606 nucleotides long. Lineage: Eukaryota; Metazoa; Chordata; Mammalia; Rodentia; Bathyergidae. The record is from Ensembl.